CCUACGGGGUGCAGCAGUAGGGAAUAUUGCUCAAUGGGGGAAACCCUGAAGCAGCAACGCCGCGUGGAGGAUGAAGGUUUUCGGAUUGUAAACUCCUUUUGUUAGAGAAGAUAAUGACGGUAUCUAACGAAUAAGCACCGGCUAACUCCGUGCCAGCAGCCGCGGUAAUACGGAGGGUGCAAGCGUUACUCGGAAUCACUGGGCGUAAAGAGCGCGUAGGCGGGAUAGCAAGUCAGAUGUGAAAUCCUAGGGCUUAACCAUAGAACUGCAUUUGAACCUGUUAUUCUAGAGUAUGGGAGAGGUAGGUGGAAUUCUUGGUGUAGGGGUAAAAUCCGUAGAGAUCAAGAGGAAUACUCAUUGCGAAGGCGACCUGCUAGAACAUAACUGACGCUGAUGCGCGAAAGCGUGGGGAGCAAACAGGAUUAGAUACCCUAGUAGUC
RNAcentral lists this ribosomal RNA (440 nucleotides) under uncultured bacterium. Its description in RNAcentral is "partial 16S ribosomal RNA". It matches the Rfam family "Bacterial small subunit ribosomal RNA", at positions 338 to 795 of the family's 1533-position model. The record is from RNAcentral.